Molecule: microRNA, 20 nt
Filed under: Monodelphis domestica (gray short-tailed opossum)
Lineage: Eukaryota; Metazoa; Chordata; Mammalia; Didelphimorphia; Didelphidae
Description: mdo-miR-7398n-3p
Source: miRBase by way of RNAcentral
AAAUCCUUGCCUCUCACAGU